Molecule: RNase P RNA, 412 nt
Filed under: uncultured Arcanobacterium sp.
Lineage: Bacteria; Bacillati; Actinomycetota; Actinomycetes; Actinomycetales; Actinomycetaceae
Description: Bacterial RNase P class A
Rfam family: Bacterial RNase P class A
About the family: Ribonuclease P (RNase P) is a ubiquitous endoribonuclease, found in archaea, bacteria and eukarya as well as chloroplasts and mitochondria. Its best characterised activity is the generation of mature 5'-ends of tRNAs by cleaving the 5'-leader elements of precursor-tRNAs. Cellular RNase Ps are ribonucleoproteins.
Source: RNAcentral
AGUCAGCUAGGCGGUCGCGUGUAUCGGCGUUAUUUUUCCAACCCUUGGUGACGCCGUUACCCGAGGAACGUCCGGACUCCACAGAGCGCAGUGGUGGGUAACGCCCACCCGGGGUGACCCGCGGGAAAGUGCCACAGAAAAUAUACCGCCUUUUCGGCGUCACGCUGAAAGGGUAAGGGUGAAAUGGCGAGGUAAGAGCUCACCGCAUUGCUGGCAACAGCAAUGGCAUGGUAAACCCCACUGGGAGCAAGACCAAGCAGCGCGCAUUGAAGCUGCUCGCUGAGCGCGCGGGUAGGUUGCUUGAGCUGUAUGGAGACGUACAGCCUAGAUGGAUGGCUGCCGCUGAGAUGUGACGCCGAGUAUUAUGCUCGUAGCCACAUCUCAGACAGAAUCCGGCGUAUCGGCUGGCUCA